ACCCCAUUAAAUGACGCGAAAUGAAAGUGAACGGAGGUGGGAACCCUCUCGGGGGUGCACCAUCGACCGAUCCUGAUGUCUUCGGAUGGAUUUGAGUAUGAGCGUGGCUGUUGGGACCCGAAAGAUGGUGAACUUUGCAUGGAUAGGGUGAAGCCAGAGGAAACUCUGGUGGAGGCUCGCAGCGGUUCUGACGUGCAAAUCGAUCGUCAAAUCAGUGCAAAGGGGCGAAAGACUAAUCGAACCGUCUAGUAGCUGGUUCCUGCCGAAGUUUCCCUCAGGAUAGCAGUAACGAACCCAGUUUUAUGAGGUAGAGCGAAUGAUUAGAGGCCUUGGGGCUGAAACAGCCUUAACCUAUUCUCAAACUUCGAAUAUGUAAGAAGUCCUUGUUGCUUCGUUGAACGUGGACGCUCGAAUGUACCGUUACUAGUGGGCCAUUUUUGGUAAGCAGAACUGGCGAUGCGGGAUGAACCGAACGCGAGGUUAAGGUGCCGGAAUGCACGCUCAUCAGACACCACAAAAGGUGUUAGUUCAUCCAGACAGCAGGACGGUGGCCAUGGAAGUCGGAACCCGCUAAGGAGUGUGUAACAACUCACCUGCCGAAUGAACUAGCCCUGAAAAUGGAUGGCGCUCAAGCGUGCUACCCAUACCUCGCCGCCGGGGCAGGAUCGAAGCCCCGGCGAGUAGGCAGGCGCGGCGGUCGGUGACGAA
Molecule: ribosomal RNA, 708 nt
Filed under: Collemopsidium sp. s467
Lineage: Eukaryota; Fungi; Ascomycota; Collemopsidiomycetes; Collemopsidiales; Xanthopyreniaceae
Also listed under: 1 other name
Description: LSU rRNA
Rfam family: Eukaryotic large subunit ribosomal RNA
Source: RNAcentral